UCUGGUCGCUCCCGGGAGCUUAGACCACUCGGCCACAUCAUCAACGUGCGCGAUAGUGACAG
This 62-nucleotide transfer RNA is filed under the name Pelagomonas calceolata. The record is from RNAcentral. Lineage: Eukaryota; Pelagophyceae; Pelagomonadales; Pelagomonadaceae.